This 422-nucleotide ribosomal RNA is filed under the name uncultured bacterium. Its description in RNAcentral is "partial 16S ribosomal RNA". It matches the Rfam family "Bacterial small subunit ribosomal RNA", at positions 360 to 774 of the family's 1533-position model. The record is from RNAcentral.
AAUUUUGGACAAUGGGGGAAACCCUGAUCCAGCCAUCCCGCGUGUAUUAUGAAGGCCUUCCGGUUGUAAAGUACUUUUGGCAGAGAAGAAAAGGUAUCUUCUAUGACGAGAUAGUGCUGACGGUAUCUGCAGAAUAAGCACCGGCUACCUACGUGCAAGCAGCCGCGGUAAUACGUAGGGUGCUAGCGACAACCGGAAAUACUGGGCGUAAGGGGUGUGUAGGCGGUACGGAAAGGAAGAAGUGAAAGCCCAGGGCUCAACCGUGGAACUGCAUUUUUAACUGCCGAGCUAGAGUAUGUCAGAGGGGGGUAGAAUUCCACGUGUAGCAGUGAAAUGCGUAGAUAUGUGGAGGAAUACCGAUGGCGAAGGCAGCCCCCUGGGAUAAUACUGACGCUCAGACACGAAAGCGUGGGGAGCAAACA